RNAcentral lists this long non-coding RNA (203 nucleotides) under Musa acuminata (dwarf banana). Its description in RNAcentral is "long non-coding RNA (MACU_LNC009811)". Lineage: Eukaryota; Viridiplantae; Streptophyta; Magnoliopsida; Zingiberales; Musaceae. The record is from RNAcentral.
CACUUAGUACUCAAGAAGACCACUCAAGCGAAAGCUCAAGUAAUGAUGACUUUGAACUCUUAACAAUAAUGCUUAAAAAGUUCAUGAAACAAGAAUAAAAAAAUAAAAAAAAACUUAAAAAGAACACAACUACUUGUUAUGAAUGCAAAAAGCCGGGGUACUCCAAAGAUGAGUAAAAACUGAAAAAAAAGUUGCCAAAGAAG